UGGCAAUUGCAGACAGCGAGGAGCACGUGGUUGGUGUGGACAGCGGAUUCUAUGAUCUCAGGAACAUCGCUGACUCACUCCCAGCUAAGUCCUGCAUUGAGCUUAUGUGGAACCGACCGGUUACUGUGUGGGAGGUCAACUGACAAAAGAAGCAGCUCCUGGUCACCUGGCCCCUCUGGCUCUGCCCAGAUUGUUCUCAUUCUUCACUGGUCAGGCAGUAAUACUAUGACUACUGCUUAACUGUAAGUAAGGCUUGCUUUUCUCAUUC
Talpa occidentalis (Iberian mole) is the source of this 268-nucleotide long non-coding RNA. RefSeq lists it as uncharacterized. The transcript has 3 exons. Lineage: Eukaryota; Metazoa; Chordata; Mammalia; Eulipotyphla; Talpidae. The record is from RefSeq and is a predicted model, not a curated record.